This 472-nucleotide ribosomal RNA is filed under the name Veillonella parvula. RNAcentral's name for it is "bacterial SSU rRNA". It matches the Rfam family "Bacterial small subunit ribosomal RNA", at positions 28 to 473 of the family's 1533-position model. The record is from RNAcentral. Lineage: Bacteria; Bacillati; Bacillota; Negativicutes; Veillonellales; Veillonellaceae.
GACGAACGCUGGCGGCGUGCUUAACACAUGCAAGUCGAACGAAGAGCGACGGAAGCUUGCUUCUAUCAAUCUUAGUGGCGAACGGGUGAGUAACGCGUAAUCAACCUGCCCUUCAGAGGGGGACAACAGUUGGAAACGACUGCUAAUACCGCUUACGAUCUAAUCUCGGCAUCGAGGAUAGAUGAAAGGUGGCCUCUACAUGUAAGCUAUCACUGAAGGAGGGGAUUGCGUCUGCUUAGCUAGUUGGAGGGGUAACGGCCCACCAAGGCGAUGAUCAGUAGCCGGUCUGAGAGGAUGAACGGCCACAUUGGGACUGAGACACGGCCCAGACUCCUACGGGAGGCAGCAGUGGGGAAUCUUCCGCAAUGGACGAAAGUCUGACGGAGCAACGCCGCGUGAGUGAUGACGGCCUUCGGGUUGUAAAGCUCUGUUAAUCGGGACGAAAGGCCUUCUUGCAAAUAGUGAGAAGGAU